UACUGCAUUUUUUCUUACACAUGUGUUUUUCUUUUUUUGAAAACUUUGCUUUGGUAGGCCUUCUAUAUGGGGCCUGCCAGAGAUUAAACUCAACCAAAUUUUAUUUAAUGUCAACCGAUUAUUUAAUAGUCAAAACUUUCAACAACGGAUCUCUUGGUUCUCGCAUCGAUGAAGAACGCAGCGAAAUGCGAUAAGUAAUAUGAAUUGCAGAUAUUCGUGAAUCAUCGAAUCUUUGAACGCACAUUGCGCCCUUUGGUAUUCCAAAGGGCAUGCCUGUUUGAGCGUCAUUUCUCCCUCAAACCCUCGGGUUUGGUGUUGAGCGAUACGCUGGGUUUGCUUGAAAGAAAGGCGGAGUAUAAACUAAUGGAUAGGUUUUUUCCACUCAUUGGUACAAACUCCAAAACUUCUUCCAAAUUCGACCUCAAAUCAGGUAGGACUACCCGCUGAACUUAAGCAUAUCAAUAA
This 465-nucleotide ribosomal RNA is filed under the name Lodderomyces parapsilosis. RNAcentral describes it as "eukaryotic LSU rRNA". The stretch from base 134 to 287 matches the Rfam family "5.8S ribosomal RNA". The record is from RNAcentral. Lineage: Eukaryota; Fungi; Ascomycota; Pichiomycetes; Serinales; Debaryomycetaceae.